This 252-nucleotide ribosomal RNA is filed under the name uncultured bacterium. Its description in RNAcentral is "partial 16S ribosomal RNA". It matches the Rfam family "Bacterial small subunit ribosomal RNA", at positions 524 to 776 of the family's 1533-position model. The record is from RNAcentral.
UACGGGGGGGCAAGCGUUGUUCGGAAUUACUGGGCGUAAAGGGCGCGUAGGCGGCCUGCUAAGUCGAACGUGAAAUCCCUGGGCUCAACCCAGGAACUGCGUCCGAUACUGGUUGGCUUGAAUCCGGGAGAGGGAUGUGGAAUUCCAGGUGUAGCGGUGAAAUGCGUAGAUAUCUGGAGGAACACCGGUGGCGAAGGCGACAUCCUGGACCGGUAUUGACGCUGAGGCGCGAAAGCCAGGGGAGCAAACGGG